Molecule: small RNA, 468 nt
Filed under: Arabidopsis thaliana (thale cress)
Lineage: Eukaryota; Viridiplantae; Streptophyta; Magnoliopsida; Brassicales; Brassicaceae
Description: ATSL205460
Source: RNAcentral
AAGAGCAAGAGCCAAAGAAAUGAAAGGAAAUGACUUGAUCCAAGAAAAAAAUCGAAAUAUGCCUUUAGUGCAAAAUGGUAGACUUAGGAUCAUCAUUGGGUUUAGAGAUAGGACCAUCUACUUGUUAUUCACGGUUUAUGUCAUUGGGUAGAUGAGGUGCUAUUCUUGUAUGCAUAGGUUGGCACUUACCUUUAGCAUUCUUCUAAAGCUCAGUCCUUUUUCAUUGAGAGUCCCCUGUUAUUAAAGUCUGAACCACCUUAAAGGGACCAUCUUUGUCACAUAACCCGUCCUUUGCCAAAUGAGUUCACUAGCGAUGCAUAUCUUGAUUCAUGUUCCUGAGCUUAAUGAAUGUUAAAGGGAUUGGUUGAUCUUGACGUAUUGUGCAACUGAGUGUGAAUUGGGAUCAUAACAGAGCAUGCUAAAGUUUUUAAGUAGAAGUCGAUCACCUCGCAUUUUAGAACUGUUAGC